AAGAAAGGUUUGAAAAUGCAUGGAAAAGUCCACCCUGAUGUGGCGGACAACCAGUUGAUUCUUGCUCCAGGGGUACUCAGCUUUGCUGCAGUAGAGAAAAAGCAAGAAGAACGUGAGCCCUCUGAAGUCUCUGAGAGUUCUGAAUCAGGAACCUUGAUGUCAGCUCAUGCCAUGAAACUAUUCUUUUAUACAAUCAAUCUGGGAACAGAACAUGGACAGAAACUUCAUACUUGUC
Eurytemora carolleeae is the source of this 235-nucleotide long non-coding RNA. RefSeq lists it as uncharacterized. Lineage: Eukaryota; Metazoa; Arthropoda; Copepoda; Calanoida; Temoridae. The transcript has 3 exons. The record is from RefSeq and is a predicted model, not a curated record.